GUGUCAGCCGCCGCGGUAAUACGGAAGGUGCGAGCGUUAAUCGGAAUAACUGGGCGUAAGGCGCGCGUAGGUGGUUGAGUCAGUCAGAUGUGAAAGCCCCGGGCUUAACCUGGGAACUGCACCUGAUACUGCUUAACUAGAGUACGGUAGAGGGCAGUGGAAUUUCCUGUGUAGCGGUGAAAUGCGUAGAUAUAGGAAGGAACACCAGUGGCGAAGGCGACUGCCUGGACUGAUACUGACACUGAGGUGCGAAAGCGUGGGUAGCAAACAGGAUUAGAAACCCUCGUAGUCC
Molecule: ribosomal RNA, 292 nt
Filed under: uncultured prokaryote
Description: partial 16S ribosomal RNA
Rfam family: Bacterial small subunit ribosomal RNA
Source: RNAcentral